GACGAACGCUGGCGGCGUGCCUAAUACAUGCAAGUUGAGCGCUGAAGGUUGGUACUUGUACCAACUGGAUGAGCAGCGAACGGGUGAGUAACGCGUGGGGAAUCUGCCUUUGAGCGGGGGCCAACUUUGGAAACGGAUGCUAAUACCGCAUAAAAAACUUAAAACACAGGUUUAAGGUUUAAAGGAUCAAUUGCAUCACUCAAAGAUGAUCCCGCGUUGUAUUAGCUAGUUGGGGAGGUAAAGGCUCACCAAGGCGAUGAUACAUAGCCGACCUGAGAGGGUGAUCGGCCACAUUGGGACUGAGACACGGCCCAAACUCCUACGGGAGGCAGCAGUAGGGAAUCUUCGGCAAUGGACGAAAGUCUGACCGAGCAACGCCGCGUGAGUGAAGAAGGUUUUCGGAUCGUAAAACUCUGUUGGUAGAGAAGAACGUUGGUGAGAGUGGAAAGCUCAUCAAGUGACGGUAACUACCCAGAAAGGGACGGCUAACUACGUG
This 496-nucleotide ribosomal RNA is filed under the name uncultured bacterium. RNAcentral describes it as "partial 16S ribosomal RNA". It matches the Rfam family "Bacterial small subunit ribosomal RNA", at positions 28 to 507 of the family's 1533-position model. The record is from RNAcentral.